Molecule: ribosomal RNA, 466 nt
Filed under: uncultured bacterium
Lineage: Bacteria
Description: partial 16S ribosomal RNA
Rfam family: Bacterial small subunit ribosomal RNA
Source: RNAcentral
CGAACGCUGGCGGCGUGCUUACCACAUGCAAGUCGACCGGAAAGGCCCUGCUUUUGUGGGGUGCUCGAGUGGCGAACGGGUGAGUAACACGUGAGUAACCUGCCCUUGACUUUGGGAUAACUUCAGGAAACUGGGGCUAAUACCGGAUAGGAGCUCCUGCUGCAUGGUGGGGGUUGGAAAGUUUCGGCGGUUGGGGAUGGACUCGCGGCUUAUCAGCUUGUUGGUGGGGUAGUGGCUUACCAAGGCUUUGACGGGAAGCCGGCCUGAGAGGGUGACCGGCGACAUUGGGACUGAGAUACGGCCCAGACUCCUACGGGAGGCAGCAGUGGGGAAUAUUGCACAAUGGGCGGAAGCCUGAUGCAGCAACGCCGCGUGCGGGAUGACGGCCUUCGGGUUGUAAACCGCUUUCGCCUGUGACGAAGCGUGAGUGACGGUAAUGGGUAAAGAAGCACCGGCUAACUACGUG